Long non-coding RNA from Malaya genurostris, 538 nucleotides. RefSeq lists it as uncharacterized. The transcript has 2 exons. Lineage: Eukaryota; Metazoa; Arthropoda; Insecta; Diptera; Culicidae. The record is from RefSeq and is a predicted model, not a curated record.
UCUUGCCACUACUCGAAAUCAACGGUAGAAUCGACGACACGACCUGCCACUCGACUAUUAAAACUGUAUCGCAAAUUUAACUACCCCUCAGUAACUGGUAAUGUCAAAACGAAAUCGCUUGAAAAAAUGUUGGAACUGGCAACACAAGUUGGUAAAUUAUUGAUUUUGAAAAACAGUUACCAGUAGCCUUGGUAACUACAUAAGAAAUGUAAACAAAAACAAGAGAUUCUCACUUAAAACGAAACCACUGAGUGUAGUUGGCCCGCUGGCAGAACAUUUUCGUCGCUGCCACAGAGAGGAAGGCUUUCAUCAUUUCAUAUUCAUAGCUAGAAAGUUGUAUUGUCGGGUGGUAGUGAAUGAUUUGCCUAUGGGUACAUUUACAGCGCGCAACUGUGUUUGGAACUCAAAAUAAUGCGAAUUAGGAACAUAAAAAAAUUGUUUUAUGCAACUAUUGUAAACAAUGUUUUUUAUUGAAAACAGUUUACUCGUAGUAAAAGGACAUACAAACGAAAAUAAAAAUAACAUGAUAUUGAAAGAA